GUGUCAGCAGCCGCGGUAAUACGUAGGACCCAAGCGUUGUCCGGAUUUACUGGGUGUAAAGGGAGCGCAGGCGGAUUUUCAAGUCGAUGGUGAAAUCUUGCGGCUCAACCGCAAAACAGCCGUCGAUACUGUUAAUCUUGAGUGUGGAAGAGAGUGGCGGAAUUCAUGGUGUAGCAGUGAAAUGCGUAGAUAUCAUGAAGAACACCGGUUGCGAAGGCGGCCACUUAGUCCAUUACUGACGCUCAUGCUCGAAAGCGUGGGGAUCAAACAGGAUUAGAUACCCUCGUAGUCC
This 292-nucleotide ribosomal RNA is filed under the name uncultured bacterium. Its description in RNAcentral is "partial 16S ribosomal RNA". It matches the Rfam family "Bacterial small subunit ribosomal RNA", at positions 505 to 796 of the family's 1533-position model. The record is from RNAcentral.